RNAcentral lists this ribosomal RNA (122 nucleotides) under Triticum dicoccoides. The record is from RNAcentral. Lineage: Eukaryota; Viridiplantae; Streptophyta; Magnoliopsida; Poales; Poaceae.
GGAUGCGAUCAUACCAGCACUAAAGCACCGUAUCCCAUCAGAACUUCUCUGAAGUUAAGCGUGCUUGGGCGAGAGUAGUACUAGGAUGGGUGACCUCCUGGGAAGUCCUCGUGUUGCAUUCC